This 388-nucleotide unclassified non-coding RNA is filed under the name soil metagenome. Its description in RNAcentral is "partial contains 5.8S ribosomal RNA, internal transcribed spacer 2, and large subunit ribosomal RNA". The stretch from base 2 to 121 matches the Rfam family "5.8S ribosomal RNA", at positions 35 to 154 of the family's 154-position model. The record is from RNAcentral.
GGAUGAAGAACGUAGCGAAAUGCGAUAAGUAAUGUGAAUUGCAGAAUUCAGUGAAUCAUCGAAUCUUUGAACGCACAUUGCGCCCAUUAGUAUUCUAGUGGGCAUGCCUGUUCGAGCGUCAUUAAUUCCACUUAAGCCCUGCUUAGUGUUGGGAAUCUACUCUAGUGGUGCUACCCUGGAGCUACCCCUGAAAGGGGGCUGGCCCGGUAGCUACCCUGUAGUUCCUCAAAGAUAGUGCGCGGAGUUGCGUGGUCCUCUGAGCUUAGUAACUAUACACCUAGCUUUUGAGUGUCCCGCGGCGCCUGCCGUUUAAACCCCAUCUUUUAAUGGUUGACCUCGGAUCAGGUAGGAAUACCCGCUGAACUUAAGCAUAUCAAUAAGCGGAGGA